AUCAGAUGUUACUUACUUAAAAAAAUUUUUUUUAAUUAAAUUCUUUAUUUUUGCGAUGACAACAUUCAAUGAUAGGUUACACUGAGGUUGGAAGGUACUUAUAGGUAAAAUAUAUAUAGCGUACAAUGCAGUAUUACAGGCAUCAAAUUGUAGAAUAACAUUCGUUACAGUAUUCCAGACAAUGUAUUCCUUUGUGAGAAAAGCAAGGACAAGCUGUCAAGGUAUUUUGUUUAAAACAUAGGAAAAAUAAAGGUAUAACAGAAAGGUAGAAAAAGAUUUAGGAAAAAUCACAAUAGUAUGGUCAUUGGGAUGUAUGCACUUUGCUAUGUGAGUAAUGUAGGUGGCAGCCGAAGUUCAUUUGUACCACCGUUCCUGAUGCCACAUUUUCUAUUCAUUUGCAUUUUCUUUUCUUCUUUUGGUUUGUUUUUAGUGGUUUCUAAUGAAACAUUAAGAGUCUCGCUUAUAAGGAUGAACAUGGCAGUGUAGUGCAGUCAAGUCAGUGCCAAAUGUAUUUGUGUGUAGGUUUUAAGUGGUGAGGGACAUUUGUAAUCACUUGGAGCCGAUGUCAGUAGUCAUACAUGGCUGAAAUGUGGCAAAGCCCAAGAGUCAAUGAGGUGCGGAGUAGCAGUAUAAUGAGCUCACCAUUCUGUGAGGUGCAGGAUGCAAUGCAGUCUUGUUGGCCUUUAAAAUUUUUUAUCUCCUGCUCUGUAAAUUGAACUUUAAGGCUCCUGCAGGGUCUAGCAAGGUAUUAACAGAGCAGGAGAAAAUACAUUUUAAAUUAAACACAAUUUGCAGUAAAGGAAGUGUAAACAUUAGAUGACUCUUUACAGGAAGCCUGUGUAACUCACAUGCAGGGAGGUGUGCCUAUGGCAGCAUAAACAAAGUGAUAUAAAUCCUAAAUGCCAGAGAAUUGAGCAGUGAGAACGCAGAGGCAUUAUCUAGACAGCAAAAAUCUGCUUCAUUAAAAGACCACUAUAGUGCCAGGAAAACAAACUAGUUUUCCUGGCACUAUGUAGUCCUUAGGUCCCCCCCACCCUCAUGGCCCCCCUCCAGCUGGGCUGAAGGGGUAAAAACCCCUCCAAGAGCGUCCUCACAUCUAUUCAUAUAGAAUUCUUAGUAUUCCCCCCACAAGAUUCUACUAACUAAAUCACCAUAGUGCUGAAAAAAAACAGUGAGGUGAUCAAUAAAGAAAAAUAGUAAGCCGACGCGCGAUUCAGCGCUUCUAGAGCACCUUCAUCCGGGGCAUUCAAGCCAGCCCCUCACCUAGGUCUCUUUUUAUCUGUCAGUGUAAACCAGUCACAUGGUGACUCCAGCCAAUAGCCACCCUGGAGGGCAUGUAAAUACUUAGACAAUUAACUGAUACCUUCUCUCCGAUUUUGCCCCUAGCAUACCACCCAUGUGUGGAGAGUCACUCCCUCCUCCACAGCUCAUCAACGCAAUGAGGAGGAUGGGAGGAGUCACACUAGGCGGAAUCAUGUUCAAAGUGUGUGGUCUCCUAACGUAUGAUUACCUAAUAACCCACAUCAAAGGGGUUUAAGAGGGGGUGAACACUUUAAAACACAAGUGUUGAACACCCAUGCUUAUUACCAUGUCCCAUAUUCAAUGAUAUGGUGGGUUAUUUACAUCAAUGUAUGGCAUUCCAGUAUACAGC
This 1651-nucleotide long non-coding RNA is filed under the name Pelobates cultripes (western spadefoot toad). Lineage: Eukaryota; Metazoa; Chordata; Amphibia; Anura; Pelobatidae. The record is from RNAcentral.